Molecule: ribosomal RNA, 489 nt
Filed under: uncultured bacterium
Lineage: Bacteria
Description: partial 16S ribosomal RNA
Rfam family: Bacterial small subunit ribosomal RNA
Source: RNAcentral
AUUGAACGCUGGCGGCAUGCUUUACACAUGCAAGUCGGACGGCAGCACAGAGAAGCUUGCUUCUUGGGUGGCGAGUGGCGAACGGGUGAGUAACAUAUCGGAACGUACCGAGCAGUGGGGGAUAACUAAUCGAAAGAUUAGCUAAUACCGCAUAUCUUCUGAGGAAGAAAGCAGGGGACCAUUUGGCCUUGCGCUGUUUGAGCGGCCGAUAUCUGAUUAGCUAGUUGGUGGGGUAAAGGCCUACCAAGGCGACGAUCAGUAGCGGGUCUGAGAGGAUGAUCCGCCACACUGGGACUGAGACACGGCCCAGACUCCUACGGGAGGCAGCAGUGGGGAAUUUUGGACAAUGGGCGCAAGCCUGAUCCAGCCAUGCCGCGUGUCUGAAGAAGGCCUUCGGGUUGUAAAGGACUUUUGUCAGGGAAGAAAAGGGCGGGGUUAAUACCCCUGUCUGAUGACGGUACCUGAAGAAUAAACACCGGCUAACUACGU